Molecule: non-coding RNA, 185 nt
Organism: Acinetobacter baumannii
Lineage: Bacteria; Pseudomonadati; Pseudomonadota; Gammaproteobacteria; Moraxellales; Moraxellaceae
Source: Rfam
CUGUCUCUGGGAUGUUCGCCAGCCGGUCUGAUUCCCCUGAGCCGAUAUCAUCUCUUUAGGAUGGUGUUCUGCAUAUUUAGAGCGUAUGCCUACCCCGAGUAGGAAACCCAGCAAGUAUGCGUCACCUCCACCUUGAACUUUAGGGUUCAAGGGUAACGACAUGCAGCGGCAUCUUCGGAGCAUUU